CCGCGGUAAUACGUAGGUGGCAAGCGUUGUCCGGAAUUACUGGGUGUAAGGGAGCGCAGGCGGGAGAGCAAGUCAGUGGUGAAAUGCAUGGGCUUAACCCAUGAACUGCCAUUGAAACUGUUUUCUUGAGUGGAUCAGAGGCAAGCGGAAUUCCGAGUGUAGCGGUGAAAUGCGUAGAUAUUCGGAGGAACACCAGUGGCGAAGGCGGCUUGCUGGGGUCUAACUGACGCUGAGGCUCGAAAGUGUGGGGAGCAAACAGGAUUAGAUACCCUGGUU
This 276-nucleotide ribosomal RNA is filed under the name uncultured bacterium. Its description in RNAcentral is "partial 16S ribosomal RNA". It matches the Rfam family "Bacterial small subunit ribosomal RNA", at positions 515 to 792 of the family's 1533-position model. The record is from RNAcentral.